Molecule: ribosomal RNA, 1450 nt
Filed under: Escherichia coli
Lineage: Bacteria; Pseudomonadati; Pseudomonadota; Gammaproteobacteria; Enterobacterales; Enterobacteriaceae
Description: partial 23S ribosomal RNA
Rfam family: Bacterial large subunit ribosomal RNA
Source: RNAcentral
AGACCCGAAACCCGGUGAUCUAGCCAUGGGCAGGUUGAAGGUUGGGUAACACUAACUGGAGGACCGAACCGACUAAUGUUGAAAAAUUAGCGGAUGACUUGUGGCUGGGGGUGAAAGGCCAAUCAAACCGGGAGAUAGCUGGUUCUCCCCGAAAGCUAUUUAGGUAGCGCCUCGUGAAUUCAUCUCCGGGGGUAGAGCACUGUUUCGGCAAGGGGGUCAUCCCGACUUACCAACCCGAUGCAAACUGCGAAUACCGGAGAAUGUUAUCACGGGAGACACACGGCGGGUGCUAACGUCCGUCGUGAAGAGGGAAACAACCCAGACCGCCAGCUAAGGUCCCAAAGUCAUGGUUAAGUGGGAAACGAUGUGGGAAGGCCCAGACAGCCAGGAUGUUGGCUUAGAAGCAGCCAUCAUUUAAAGAAAGCGUAAUAGCUCACUGGUCGAGUCGGCCUGCGCGGAAGAUGUAACGGGGCUAAACCAUGCACCGAAGCUGCGGCAGCGACACUGUGUGUUGUUGGGUAGGGGAGCGUUCUGUAAGCCUGUGAAGGUGUGCUGUGAGGCAUGCUGGAGGUAUCAGAAGUGCGAAUGCUGACAUAAGUAACGAUAAAGCGGGUGAAAAGCCCGCUCGCCGGAAGACCAAGGGUUCCUGUCCAACGUUAAUCGGGGCAGGGUGAGUCGACCCCUAAGGCGAGGCCGAAAGGCGUAGUCGAUGGGAAACAGGUUAAUAUUCCUGUACUUGGUGUUACUGCGAAGGGGGGACGGAGAAGGCUAUGUUGGCCGGGCGACGGUUGUCCCGGUUUAAGCGUGUAGGCUGGUUUUCCAGGCAAAUCCGGAAAAUCAAGGCUGAGGCGUGAUGACGAGGCACUACGGUGCUGAAGCAACAAAUGCCCUGCUUCCAGGAAAAGCCUCUAAGCAUCAGGUAACAUCAAAUCGUACCCCAAACCGACACAGGUGGUCAGGUAGAGAAUACCAAGGCGCUUGAGAGAACUCGGGUGAAGGAACUAGGCAAAAUGGUGCCGUAACUUCGGGAGAAGGCACGCUGAUAUGUAGGUGAAGUCCCUCGCGGAUGGAGCUGAAAUCAGUCGAAGAUACCAGCUGGCUGCAACUGUUUAUUAAAAACACAGCACUGUGCAAACACGAAAGUGGACGUAUACGGUGUGACGCCUGCCCGGUGCCGGAAGGUUAAUUGAUGGGGUCAGCGCAAGCGAAGCUCUUGAUCGAAGCCCCGGUAAACGGCGGCCGUAACUAUAACGGUCCUAAGGUAGCGAAAUUCCUUGUCGGGUAAGUUCCGACCUGCACGAAUGGCGUAAUGAUGGCCAGGCUGUCUCCACCCGAGACUCAGUGAAAUUGAACUCGCUGUGAAGAUGCAGUGUACCCGCGGCAAGACGGAAAGACCCCGUGAACCUUUACUAUAGCUUGACACUGAACAUUGAGCCUUGAUGUGUAGGAU